RNAcentral lists this transfer RNA (63 nucleotides) under Semibalanus balanoides (northern acorn barnacle). RNAcentral describes it as "tRNA-Arg". Lineage: Eukaryota; Metazoa; Arthropoda; Thecostraca; Balanomorpha; Balanidae. The record is from RNAcentral.
GGAUGAGAAGCGAAUUAUUGCUAUCGGUUUCGACCCGGUCUUUGGUCUUAUGGCCCUCAUUCU